GGAGGAGGAGGAGGAGGAGGAUGAUGAUGAUGAUGAGGAAACGCUGUCUGCUGCCACAGGGAGAGAUCCGGAGGGGCCUACUGAAAACAUGGCUGGGCAUCACCAAGAGGAGGGUCCAUCAACUUCUAGAGCACAGCUUGACACAGUGAGAUUUUCAGUCAAUACCAUGUUAAAUCUGUAUGUAGAACUGCAGGAAUUAAAUGUCGUCCAUAUGUUUCCGAGUUGCCGGUAAAAGAGUUGUACAGGGUGCACCUAAUGAAAACCAUUCAAAAAACCGAGAAAGAAAUGGUGUACCUGGACCGGCAAAUCAGAAAAACAGACUUGGAAAUUCUAUUACUUGAACGCCAGUUGAGGUGGGUGCAUUGUCAUGGUGAAACAGGUGAAUAUGUGAAAUAUGUUAAUAGUUGGAACUAUAUUACAAAUCCUGACUGUUGCUUUUGUACUUUUAGAGAAUAAAGAAGAACCAAAUCA
Solea solea (common sole) is the source of this 471-nucleotide long non-coding RNA. RefSeq lists it as uncharacterized. Lineage: Eukaryota; Metazoa; Chordata; Actinopteri; Pleuronectiformes; Soleidae. The transcript has 2 exons. The record is from RefSeq and is a predicted model, not a curated record.